UGGGGAAUUUUGGACAAUGGGGGAAACCCUGAUCCAGCCAUCCCGCGUGUGCGAUGAAGGCCUCCGGGUUGUAAAGCACUUUUGGCAGGAAAGAAACGUCAUGGGUUAAUACCCCGUGAAACUGACGGUACCUGCAGAAUAAGCACCGGCUAACUACGUGCCAGCAGCCGCGGUAAUACGUAGGGUGCAAGCGUUAAUCGGAAUUACUGGGCGUAAAGCGUGCGCAGGCGGUUCGGAAAGAAAGAUGUGAAAUCCCAGAGCUCAACUUUGGAACUGCAUUUUUAACUACCGGGCUAGAGUGUGUCAGAGGGAGGUGGAAUUCCGCGUGUAGCAGUGAAAUGCGUAGAUAUGCGGAGGAACACCGAUGGCGAAGGCAGCCUCCUGGGAUAACACUGACGCUCAUGCACGAAAGCGUGGGGAGCAAACAGG
This 429-nucleotide ribosomal RNA is filed under the name Acidobacteriota bacterium. RNAcentral's name for it is "Acidobacteria bacterium partial 16S ribosomal RNA". It matches the Rfam family "Bacterial small subunit ribosomal RNA", at positions 355 to 776 of the family's 1533-position model. The record is from RNAcentral. Lineage: Bacteria; Pseudomonadati; Acidobacteriota.